AGGACCUUACUGCUAUCGGGAUGAGAGUAACUCAUGCACCUAGAGCUUUCUUCAUCUAUGUAGAGAGCGUGGCGAACGGCUCAAUAACAUGUAGUUAACCUACCGUCGGGGAUGAGAAUACCCCCGCAAAACUGGGAUUAAUACGCACUAGAUGAUGUAGCUGGAAUGGCUUAUCAUAUAAAGAGUCUGGAAACAUGCUUCCUGCGUCGCCAGAGGAUGGGACCGCGUCGGAUCAGGUAGUUGGUGGGGUAAUGGCCUACCAAGCCUAUAACCGGUACGGCCCCUGAGAGGGGGAGCCCGUAGAUGGCAUCUGAGAAAAGGUUCCAGUCCCUACGGUGUGCAGCAGGCGCGAAACCUCCACAAUGCGAGAAAGCGUGAUGGGGUUAUCCCGAGUACCGUCCGAUGAGGAUGGCUUUUUAUCGAUAUAAGGAUUCGAUAGAAUAAAGGGGGGCCAAGUUUGGUGUCAGCCGCCGCGGUAAUACCAGCCCCCUGAGUGGUAAGACCUAUUAUUUGGCCAAAAGCGUUAGUAGCCGCUUUAUCAAUUCUUUUGUUAAAUCCACGGAUUUAAUGGUUGGGCCGCAAAAGAUAUUGUUAUGUUAGAGGCCGGGAGAGGUCGACGGUUGUCCAGGGGUAGGGGGGAAAUCCUAUAAUCCUGGGAGGACCUCCAGUGGGGAAGGCGGUGGAUUAGAACGUCCCUGACGGUGAGGGACGAAAGCUGGGGGAGCGAACCGGAUUAGAUACCCGGUUAGUCCCAGUUUUAAACGAUCCGGGUUAGGUGUUGGGGCAGCCACGAGCUGCUCCAGUGCCGCAGGGAAGUUGUUAAGCCCCCGACCUGGGGAGUACGUCUCCAAGGAGGAAAAUAAAAGGAAUUGGCGGGGGACCCC
This 884-nucleotide ribosomal RNA is filed under the name uncultured archaeon. Its description in RNAcentral is "bacterial SSU rRNA". It matches the Rfam family "Archaeal small subunit ribosomal RNA", at positions 18 to 879 of the family's 1478-position model. The record is from RNAcentral.